GCGUUAAGUUGCAGGGUAUAGACCCGAAACCCGGUGAUCUAGCCAUGGGCAGGUUGAAGGUUGGGUAACACUAACUGGAGGACCGAACCGACUAAUGUUGAAAAAUUAGCGGAUGACCUGUGGCUGGGGGUGAAAGGCCAAUCAAACCGGGAGAUAGCUGGUUCUCCCCGAAAGCUAUUUAGGUAGCGCCUCGUGAAUUCAUCUCCGGGGGUAGAGCACUGUUUCGGCUAGGGGGCCAUCCCGGCUUACCAACCCGAUGCAAACUGCGAAUACCGGAGAAUGUUAUCACGGGAGACACACGGCGGGUGCUAACGUCCGUCGUGAAGAGGGAAACAACCCAGACCGCCAGCUAAGGUCCCAAAGUCAUGGUUAAGUGGGAAACGAUGUGGGAAGGCCCAGACAGCCAGGAUGUUGGCUUAGAAGCAGCCAUCAUUUAAAGAAAGCGUAAUAGCUCACUGGUCGAGUCGGCCUGCGCGGAAGAUGUAACGGGGCUAAACCAUGCACCGAAGCUGCGGCAGCGAACGUAUCACCCAAGACAACUUUACGGAGUUGACGAUUGACGGAGCGAAGCGACGUCAAAGCGUUCAUUAAAGUCGAGUUGGCUUAGGGAUACGUUCGUUGGGUAGGGGAGCGUUCUGUAAGCCUGUGAAGGUGUGUCGUGAGGCAUGCUGGAGGUAUCAGAAGUGCGAAUGCUGACAUAAGUAACGAUAAAGCGGGUGAAAAGCCCGCUCGCCGGAAGACCAAGGGUUCCUGUCCAACGUUAAUCGGGGCAGGGUGAGUCGACCCCUAAGGCGAGGCCGAAAGGCGUAGUCGAUGGGAAACGGGUUAAUAUUCCCGUACUUGGUGUUACUGCGAAGGGGGGACGGAGAAGGCUAUGUUGGCCGGGCGACGGUUGUCCCGGUUUAAGCGUGUAGGUGUGUGUUCCAGGUAAAUCCGGUUCACUUUAACACUGAGGCGUGACGACGAGGCACUACGGUGCUGAAGCAACAAAUGCCCUGCUUCCAGGAAAA
RNAcentral lists this ribosomal RNA (1010 nucleotides) under Salmonella enterica. RNAcentral describes it as "partial 23S ribosomal RNA". It matches the Rfam family "Bacterial large subunit ribosomal RNA", at positions 692 to 1616 of the family's 2925-position model. The record is from RNAcentral. Lineage: Bacteria; Pseudomonadati; Pseudomonadota; Gammaproteobacteria; Enterobacterales; Enterobacteriaceae.